RNAcentral lists this unclassified non-coding RNA (237 nucleotides) under Hevea brasiliensis (rubber tree). The record is from RNAcentral. Lineage: Eukaryota; Viridiplantae; Streptophyta; Magnoliopsida; Malpighiales; Euphorbiaceae.
AGCUCAUCCAAUUCUUCUGAUCCCUAUAGUCUUUUCCUUUCUUGAAAUCAUCAUCAUCUUCUUCAUCUCGUUCUUUCUUCAGAGGUAUGAACUCUUCCAAAACUGGUUGGGUUUUAGGAACUGCACAUUGCAUUGACUCCUCCUUCACAGCUAAAAUGGCAUCUUUCAAGAGAAUCAUACAGAGAGGAAGUUCCCGUUUGAAGGCAUCGAUCUUCCUCAUUUCAUCCUCCAAACUUU